Molecule: non-coding RNA, 69 nt
Organism: Parelaphostrongylus tenuis
Lineage: Eukaryota; Metazoa; Nematoda; Chromadorea; Rhabditida; Metastrongylidae
Source: the annotation of a GenBank genome assembly
ACAUCGGUGGUGUAGUGAUAGCACGUUCCCGGUAUGGAUGAAACGCGGGUUCGACUCCCGCCUGAGGUC